GACGAACGCUGGCGGCGUGCUUAACACAUGCAAGUCGAACGGAAAGGCCCUGCUUUUGUGGGGUGCUCGAGUGGCGAACGGGUGAGUAACACGUGAGUAACCUGCCCUUGACUUUGGGAUAACUUCAGGAAACUGGGGCUAAUACCGGAUAGGAGCUCCUGCUGCAUGGUGGGGGUUGGAAAGUUUCGGCGGUUGGGGAUGGACUCGCGGCUUAUCAGCUUGUUGGUGGGGUAGUGGCUUACCAAGGCUUUGACGGGUAGCCUGCCUGAGAGGGUGACCGGCCACAAUGGGACUGAGAUACGGCCCAGACUCCUACGGGAGGCAGCAGGGGGGAAUAUUGCACAAUGGGCGGAAGCCUGAUGCAGCAACGCCGCGUGCGGGAUGACGGCCUUCGGGUUGUAAACCGCUUUCGCCUGUGACGAAGCGUGAGUGACGGUAAUGGGUAAAGAAGCACCGGCUAACUACGUG
RNAcentral lists this ribosomal RNA (468 nucleotides) under uncultured bacterium. RNAcentral's name for it is "partial 16S ribosomal RNA". It matches the Rfam family "Bacterial small subunit ribosomal RNA", at positions 28 to 507 of the family's 1533-position model. The record is from RNAcentral.